This 217-nucleotide unclassified non-coding RNA is filed under the name uncultured fungus. RNAcentral describes it as "sequence contains ITS1, 5.8S rRNA gene". Lineage: Eukaryota; Fungi. The record is from RNAcentral.
UCGAGUUUUGAAAGUGGGACCUUUGAUGCUGGUUUCGACAUGUGCUCAAGGUCUCCGCUCAAAUCCACUCAACCCCUGUGCACUAAUUCGAAGCUUUUGCGGUCCUCCUGUAAAGGAGCAGCUCCCUCUCCAACGAGGUUGAGCCGGGGCUUGCGAGGCUUCGAGCCUUUCACACAAACAACUUUAUUGUCAUGUAGAAUGUAUAAAUUGAAAAGUA